CUUAUGUGUCAGACGUUCUAGCCAAAGUGGUAUUGCCAGACAGUGUUCUUGAAGCAACAUAUAGUAAAAGAAAAACUUUUUUUUUUCUCUUAUCCCUCUUUUUUAGGAAAAAACUAAAGGAGAUUUAGUGAAUUGAGGAGACAACUGGAGGUGGUUUAAAAGGAUGGAGUGCAAAGAAAGAGCCAAUGACACUUAAGCGGCCAAGUAGUUUACAAGCAUUAAGGCCAGCGGUUCUCCAAAUAUAUUCUCCUGAAUAUGUGUGUUUUGGAGAUAAGAGGACCCAACGAUUCCAUUGCCAGCAAAUGGAAGACUCCAAGAUUUUAAUAGCCCAUCAAGUUGAAUUAACACCUUUGAUAAAAGUUGUUAGAAAACUGAUACUAAGAAGAUUGCCCCAACUCUCAAAGAUGAAUCAAGGGAGUACCAACGUUUUCUUUAAAAACUAACGAGUCUUAUAGACUCUGUGGGAGAGGGAGAGGGUGGGAAGAUGUGGGAGAAUGGCAUUGAAACAUGUAAAAUAUCAUGUAUGAAACGAGAUGCCAGUCCAGGUUCGAUGCACGAUACUGGAUGCUUGGGGCUAGAGCACUGGGAUGACCCAGAGGGAUGGUAUGGGGAGGGAGGAGGGAGGAGGGUUCAGGAUGGGGAACACAUGUAUACCUGUGGCGGAUUCAUUUUGAUAUUUGGCAAAACUAAUACAAUUAUGUAAAGCUUAAAAAUAAAAUUUAAAAAAUACUUUAUUGUUAAAUAAAU
Long non-coding RNA from Bos indicus x Bos taurus (hybrid cattle), 747 nucleotides. Lineage: Eukaryota; Metazoa; Chordata; Mammalia; Artiodactyla; Bovidae. The record is from Ensembl.